GGUUAAGCGACUAAGCGUACACGGUGGAUGCCCUGGCAGUCAGAGGCGAUGAAGGACGUGCUAAUCUGCGAAAAGCGUCGGUAAGGUGAUAUGAACCGUUAUAACCGGCGAUGUCCGAAUGGGGAAACCCAGUGUGAUUCGUCACACUAUCGUUAACUGAAUACAUAGGUUAACGAGGCGAACCGGGGGAACUGAAACAUCUAAGUACCCCGAGGAAAAGAAAUCAACCGAGAUUCCCCCAGUAGCGGCGAGCGAACGGGGAGCAGCCCAGAGUCUGAAUCAGCUUGUGUGUUAGUGGAACGGUCUGGAAAGUCCGACGGUACAGGGUGAUAGUCCCGUACACCAAAAUGCACAGGCUGUGAACUCGAAGAGUAGGGCGGGACACGUGGUAUCCUGUCUGAAUAUGGGGGGACCAUCCUCCAAGGCUAAAUACUCCUGACUGACCGAUAGUGAACCAGUACCGUGAGGGAAAGGCGAAAAGAACCCCGGCGAGGGGAGUGAAAAAGAACCUGAAACCGUGUACGUACAAGCAGUGGGAGCACCUUCGGGUGUGACUGCGUACCUUUUGUAUAAUGGGUCAGCGACUUAUAUUCUGUAGCAAGGUUAACCGUAUAGGGGAGCCGCAGGGAAACCGAGUCUUAACUGGGCGUUAAGUUGCAGGGUAUAGACCCGAAACCCGGUGAUCUAGCCAUGGGCAGGUUGAAGGUUGGGUAACACUAACUGGAGGACCGAACCGACUAAUGUUGAAAAAUUAGCGGAUGACUUGUGGCUGGGGGUGAAAGGCCAAUCAAACCGGGAGAUAGCUGGUUCUCCCCGAAAGCUAUUUAGGUAGCGCCUCGUGAACUCAUCUUCGGGGGUAGAGCACUGUUUCGGCUAGGGGGUCAUCCCGACUUACCAACCCGAUGCAAACUACGAAUACCGAAGAAUGUUAUCACGGGAGACACACGGCGGGUGCUAACGUCCGUCGUGAAGAGGGAAACAACCCAGACCGCCAGCUAAGGUCCCAAAGUCAUGGUUAAGUGGGAAACGAUGUGGGAAGGCACAGACAGCCAGGAUGUUGGCUUAGAAGCAGCCAUCAUUUAAAGAAAGCGUAAUAGCUCACUGGUCGAGUCGGCCUGCGCGGAAGAUGUAACGGGGCUAAACCAUGCACCGAAGCUGCGGCAGCGACACUAUGUGUUGUUGGGUAGGGGAGCGUUCUGUAAGCCUGCGAAGGUGUGCUGUGAGGCAUGCUGGAGGUAUCAGAAGUGCGAAUGCUGACAUAAGUAACGAUAAAGCGGGUGAAAAGCCCGCUCGCCGGAAGACCAAGGGUUCCUGUCCAACGUUAAUCGGGGCAGGGUGAGUCGACACCUAAGGCGAGGCCGAAAGGCGUAGUCGAUGGGAAACAGGUUA
Molecule: ribosomal RNA, 1389 nt
Filed under: Pseudomonas aeruginosa
Lineage: Bacteria; Pseudomonadati; Pseudomonadota; Gammaproteobacteria; Pseudomonadales; Pseudomonadaceae
Description: partial 23S ribosomal RNA
Rfam family: Bacterial large subunit ribosomal RNA
Source: RNAcentral